This 400-nucleotide ribosomal RNA is filed under the name uncultured bacterium. RNAcentral's name for it is "bacterial SSU rRNA". It matches the Rfam family "Bacterial small subunit ribosomal RNA", at positions 355 to 751 of the family's 1533-position model. The record is from RNAcentral.
UGGGGAAUCUUGCGCAAUGGGCGAAAGCCUGACGCAGCGACGCCGCGUGGGUGAUGAAGGCCUUCGGGUCGUAAAGCCCUGUCAAGGGGGAAGAAAAAACGGCACUACCGUGUCGUCCUGACGGUACCCCUGAAGGAAGCACCGGCUAACCCCGUGCCAGCAGCCGCGGUAAUACGGGGGGUGCAAGCGUUGUUCGGAAUUACUGGGCGUAAAGCGCGUGUAGGUGGCGCAGCAAGUCUGGAGUGAAAGCCCUCGGCCUAACCGAGGAAGUGCUUUGGAAACUGCUGUGCUUGAGUCCUGGAGGGGCAGAUGGAAUUCCCAGUGUAGAGGUGAAAUUCGUAGAUAUUGGGAGGAACACCGGUGGCGAAGGCGGUCUGCUGGACAGAGACUGACACUGAGA